Molecule: long non-coding RNA, 149 nt
Organism: Microtus oregoni (creeping vole)
Lineage: Eukaryota; Metazoa; Chordata; Mammalia; Rodentia; Cricetidae
Exons: 3
Source: RefSeq, a predicted model, not a curated record
GUCAGCCUACUUCCUCAAGACAUCUCUUGAAAGACCCUUGCUAAAAGGUGGCGUUGGAGAAGAUGACACCCCCACUCCACGGCAGCAAUAGAUGCAGGCCUUUCCACGUUGGUUCUGUGAGACCCAAGCCUAAGUCCAGCUGGAGCGGG